Molecule: RNA transcript, 6234 nt
Organism: Raphanus sativus (radish)
Lineage: Eukaryota; Viridiplantae; Streptophyta; Magnoliopsida; Brassicales; Brassicaceae
Exons: 3
Source: RefSeq, a predicted model, not a curated record
UCUGGAAACACAAGAGAGUUUAGGAGCACGCUGGAAACAUUUUUUUUAAGGAAAUUGCAAUGUAGACCCUUUUAAUUAUCGAAAAUUGCAUAUACCACACCUUUUUCCAUUAACGAUGGAUGCUCUAACGAUGGAAGACUGUUUAGCUUCGCUCUGCACACUUGGAUGACCUGAUAAGAUCCGUUAAGAAUCUAAGGCUACUCUUUUAUCUCUUACAGUCUGGCCUUGAAUCUAAGAUUAAUCUAACGUACUUUGGGGAGGAACCCUAAUCAGAUUCAUAAUCUAAGGUUCUGCAAUUGUUGGUGUCUUCUUAUGCAGAAUCAAUGGCUAAUCUAAGGAAAACUUUGACUAGCACGGAUUGUAAUUCAGAGAUUUCAGACUCUUAACUCUAUCAAAAGCCACUGUACCUUUUCAUCCUUCAAUGCAUCCCUUGCAGUACUUUUUGCACCGAUCAAAAACUGCGGAAAGAAAGCAGAGCUGCAAUCCUUUGUGGUCUACUGUCCAUCUUCUCAUCUCCUCUUCUGCAGAAUAUACCAAUGUUCCAUCAGAUCUUUAAUUAUUUAACCAAUUUCUGCUUCUCUUCUUGUGCACAGACUGCAACCAGUCUGCAAAACCACUUCCAAAGAGAUCACUUCAAUGCUUUGCUUUAUCAUAUCACUCGAGCUGAUUAUCCUUUUAUUCAUCCUACUUACAUUAUGAAAGAUCUGACUUGAUAUCGUUGAAGCUGUGCUUUUCAUAGAAGUUACUUCCAAAGUUCCAGAUUGGUGUAUUGUUCUGUUUGCUAUGUGGCAGGUCUGUGCUGUCUAAUAAAGUCUUAAUACAGUCUCUUAUUUACCAGAGAUUGCAGCAACAACUGUGCAGGCUGCCUUUAAAGGCUACUUGGUAAUAUUUUUAAUCUCUUGGUGUGUUUGUUUUUUAAAUACAGUCUAAAUGAUAACGUGUUCCUAAUAAACUCUCAAUAUUAAGUACUUCCUAAUAUACUCUCAAUGAUAAGCACUUCCUAAUACACUCUCAAUGAUAACGUCUUCCUAAUAAACUCUCAAUGUUAAGCACUUCCUAAUACACUCUCAAUGAUAACGUCUUCCUAAUAAACUCUCAAUGUUAAGUACUUCCUAAUAUACUCUCAAUGAUAAGCACUUCCUAAUACAGCCAGAGUCUGGAGAAGCUCCUGAAAUCUGUUUUGCAGAAUCACAGAAAUCUGUUUUGCAGAAUCACACUUCCUAAUUUAGCUUCUGAAAUCUAUCACACGAUGUUUGAUGUCACUCGAUGUUGUUAAUUCAAACACAUUUUCCUGGCAGUGUUUGAUAUCCUAUCAUUGUCAAAUACAAACAAAAUAUGCCAAAUCAUCAUAAUAGUUUAGUAUUUUCAAUUAAAAAUAAAAACAUAAUAAAAAAAAUCUAUAAAACGAAAUUUAAAAGUAUCUAUAAAACUAAUUAACUAACUUCAUUUCUAUAUGCUAACUCCUUCAAAAAUCAAAAUAAAAAAAUUUGAUAAUUAAUGUGUUUUCAAACUGUUUUUCUUUCCAUUUGUUUCUCAUUGCAUCCUAUACUGGUUUAUUUCGAGCUUGCAUACUGAAAGCGAAAAGAAAAAAUCAUUUUGCAUAAUUUAAUAGCAUUUGAUUCUUUCCAAGCCAGUCCAUGCCUAAUAUCACCUCGUGAUUCUCAAGGCGGACAACAAUCAGAUCCGCAUGCAAUACCUUGUCUUUGAUCAUUACCGAUAUGUCUUUUACCACCCUUAGUGAAUGCAUCAUCUCUAGUAUCGAAAAAUACAUGGGUUUUCACCCCACCAAUAAGCGUAAUUGAGCCGGUUAAGUCCAAUAGUUUCUAAAUCUUUUUCAAUCAUUAGAGGUUCAUACCCUCCUCCUCCAAACUCUCCAGCUCCUUGGCCUCCUCGGUAUUAACUCGGUACGCAGCUCGGUUCGCGCCUGGUACAAAGUCAAUCUGAUGUUCUAUUCCGCGGAUGGGGGGUAAACCGGCUGGUAUCUCUUCAGGAAAGACGUCCUUGUACUGGUCCAUAAGGACUUGUACCUCAGCUGGUACGUCUUGGACCUCAAAACCUGCAAAACAACCUUCCUUAAAGAUCAUUAGUAGCACUUGCGUUUCAUGAUGUAAAGAUUUAAGCACUUGACCAGAAGUAAUAUAAAGGUUAGUCUUACUUACCUUGCUGGACUGGUCCAUUGCCUUUUGCAUAUCAUGAACAUCUUGUGGACUGAGUGGUGCUAGGCUAUGCUUCUUGUUGUUGUGGUUGAAGCUGUAGAUGUUGGUUUUGGUUUCCCUGACCCAUGAGAUUCAUUUGUGCAGUCAAGGCGUUAAGGGUUUCUGCGAGCUGAGCUUAUCCGGCCUGCAAGGCUUGGAGUUGGGCGUUGAUCUCAGCUGCACCAUUUAGGUCUCCCAUAUCUCCUGGAACUAAGAGAGAAAAGAAAGAUCAAAGAGAGAUUCUUAUGAGUUUUCUUAUGAGUUUAAAAUGAAGAACAUAAAGUAAACUAAUAAGAAAAAUAAGAACAGAAGCAAAUAUGAUUUUAAUGGGAUUUUCAGAUGCAGAAUAAAUGAUAUAAAAACUGAAACAAAAUGAAAUAAAAAUCAAGAACAAGGAUAGAGAGAUGGUGGAUGGAUUCAAGUUGCUGGACUGAAGUCUCUCUCAACAAGAACAGUGGAUGGAGAUGGAUAGAUGUGGGAUUUGCUUGCUGGACUGAAGUCACUCUCAAGGCAAAUCAAUGGGUGAUGAUGGAGUGUAGAUCGCCACAAACUUUGAUGGAGGAAAGCUUGAUAAGAUCUUGAAAUGCUCUCUGGCUGCUUCUCACAAACUAGAAAGACUUUAGGGUUUUGUUUGCUUCAGCAAAGAAAUUUCAUAAAAGACUAAGUGCCAAAAAUCGGCCAGCACAAAGAGUUAUAUAGGGAACUCCCUAAUGGACUCAAAAACAUAAAAGGCUUAAGCAAGAAAUAAAAUAAAACAAGGCCAAUCGGGUCUUCAAUCUUCAAACCAGACAUCUCUUAAAUCAAUAGCUGUUUGAGACCUUGAUCAAUCAGUUCUUGAACCGCUUUGGUGAACCCAUUCCUUAACCUUGCUGAACCUGAUCUCGUAGUCGGACCCUUAUGCACUUGGGGAACCUCAGCUUGAGUGACCACAACAAACCCCUUCUAUCGGACCGACCCUUGAAGCAAAAUAGAAAUUUUCCACCUAAGGGGAAACUUCCAUUGUUCUUAUUAUGGAAGAGUUCGCCCUACUUCAAGCCGACAUCUACAUCUAUAAAAGGGGAGCCCAAACCCUAGAUCGACAUUCAGAGGCUAAGAGGUUAGAGUUUAGGCGACUAAAACUAGGGUUUAUAAACCAAACGUUGUAGUCCUGAAUCAUAUACUCAAUAAUACAUCUCUUCUCGCCUCGAUUUCUUAUUCUUGAUUCAAGUCUUCUAGUGUUCCGUAGUACUAAAACGACCCUACACAAAAAUACCAUAACAGUUUGGGGCUAGAAGGAGGGGAGUAAUCCAACUACGUGACGAUGACGCCAGAUGACGGUAGCAAUCAAACCAAGACUACUCCGAGGGAACUCGAGCUCCUUAACCGGCUCGAAACCCUUCAAAGUCAAAUCACCGAACUCUACAAGCUAAAGAGACGACGUCUGGAGGUCCGGAACUUAUCCAAGAUGUUCAAACUCUAAAAGACCAGCUUGGAGAACACUCCAAGCAGCUGCAGCAAAGCCCCGAGAAGCUAGACGCUAUGGAGGCCGAAAACCUAUGGCUUCGCUCAGCCCCGCCCCGAGACGACGGUGGAGCACUUCGACGAUCCACCGCCAUGGAUAGCGAACCCGAAGGCCGGGAGAGUGCUCAGGAUGGAACCCGAGUACAAGUAGACAGCGACUCCGAUAUGGAAGACGAGGAGUACUCACCCGAUGAUCCCGCGAUCUCGGAUCCGGCACUAGCCGCCUACCUUGAAAGGGUGGUCUCCGAAAAGUGCGGCACCAUCCAAUCUAUGGUGGAAGGACUUCCAGGGGUAGCUCCCCCUAUUUGGAGAAGCAAUCCCAGGUCUUACUCCGAAACGCCCUUCGUGGAGGAGAUCGCCUCGGUGGAGAUGCCGCACAAGUUCUCCUUCCCUAACAUAAAGAUGUAUGAAGGCACUGGUGACGCAGACAACCACGUUGCUCAGUACAAGCAACAGAUGCUGGCCGUAGCGAUCCCUAGAGAAGCAAGGGAAGCUACCAUGUGCAAAGGAUUCAGGUCAACCCUGACCAGUCCUGCUCUUCAAUGGUACAUCAACCUCCCUACUAGAUCCAUUAGGUCUUUUGCAGCCCUUAGUGAUAAGUUUAUGGAGCAAUUCGCCAGCAGCCAUAAUCUGGAGAGGAACUCGGAUGACCUUUACGAGAUUCUCCAGCAUAGGACUGAACCAUUGCGGGCCUAUAUUGCGCGCUUCAACCAAGAGAAGGUGGCCAUCCCCGAGUGAAAUACGGAUACGGCCAUCUCAACCUUUAAAAGAGGUCUAUUCCCAGAAGGAUAUCUUUACAAAGAUCUGACCAAGUAUAAGUGUAGGACCAUGGAAGAUGUCUUGUCUCGCUCUUGGGCUCAAGUAAGGUGGGAGGAAGACGUCGCAAGCAGAGCCAAAGCCUACCAGAAGCAGGAUCAAAAGCCGUCUAAGCCAGUGAGGAAUGAUCGCUGUUAUGGUAUUUUUGUGUAGGAUCGUUUUAGUACUACGGAACACUAGAAGAUUUGUAAUAGAAAGCAGAAAAUCGAGGCUAGAAGAUAUGUUUAUUGAGUGUUUGAUUCGGGAGUACAAUGUUUGGUGUAUAAACCUAGUUUUGUCGCCAAAACUCUAAUCUCUUAGCCUCUAGAAUUGUCGAUCCCUUAUUCUAGGGUUUGAGCUCCCCUUUUAUAGUUGCAGAUGUCGGCUUUAAGUAAUAGAACUCUUCCAUAAUUGGAAAAAUGGAAGUUUCCCCUUAGGCGGAAAACUUCUAUUUUGCUUCAAGGGUCGGUCCGAUCAAGGGGUCGGACCUAUGGCAGGGGUUGGUCCCUGGUUUCUUCUUGAGCAAGGGUCCCGAAAUCGUGGGCCUAUCCGGAAGCUGGAGAAAACUUACGUCUGUAUAUUUUUCCCCAACAGUUUUCCCCUUAUUCCUUGAUUUGCUCGUGGAAAUCAAGGGAUAACUUGUGCUCUUGAAUCUUGGUAGUUUUCUCUUAGGAUGGAGUCUUCCUUGGGCAUCUUGUCUUCUUGCAAUGAAUCAGGUCGUGACCUUUGCUGAGGAUUGAGACAAUCUAGCGGGGUACGAUCCAUGCUGUAGAACGGGCUCCUUAUUGUAAAAAGGAAAUAAGGAGAAGCCCUAGCCGCCACGCCGGACAGACCAUGGUGCGGGGAGAUGGGCUGGCCAGGUUGUAAAGACCUAAUGGCAAGCGUAUCAUGGUCUAAACUAAGGGUUAAGUGCAUCAGGAAGCUGAGACUUGACCGGAAUAAGAAGUAAAGAAGGAAAUGGUAGCUGGAUGAGGGAUCCGGAAGCUGGACAUGGUCCGGAAGCAGCUCAAUCAGCUAGGGGGAGCUGGUAGGGAGCUCACACAGUCUUGGGCAGCUCACAGGAGCUGGGGGAGUAGCUCACUCAGCUCAGGCAACUAGUACUCAGCUGAACUCAGCUGGACGGAGUGAUGGAGUCUUGACCGGUCAUUGCGGACCAUGAGUAAUGAUCAUGGACCGGAUGCUGGUUGUGGGUGUCCGUUGGGUCUAGGUUGCAUGGGCAAGGGAGCUGAGCUUGUGGGUAAACAGUUGGGCUUGAGAUCGAUCAGCCCAAAGGAAGAAAGGGGCGGUUUGCAAGCGGUUGGGCGGUUUUGGGCGAAAAGGUGUCCGUUGGCCAAAUGACCAAUCACAUCGCCCGGACGGUUGCCAAGCCUCUUCCCUAUAAAUAACCCUCUCCUCUGUCGACAUAAAUCAUCAGAAACAGAAGGGGAAACUCUGCCCAAAUCUCUACAGAAUGAAAGAGAGAAAAGAGAAGUGAGACCGCAAAGGCAGUCCGUGUGAAGCAAGGGAGAUUCCGGUGGGUUCUAAGCCGUGGGCAAGUGAAGCUUGAUCGGAAAUGGAUACCAGAGGAAAGGAGAAGGCUGCAGAGAAGAGUGUGGGGGCUUCCGAACACACGCCUAAGGUACUGGAUGCAAACCAAGUACAAACCGCCAUGAAUCAUCCAUCCGGGUGGUUUGGCCGUUUGAUCCAUGAGUGGAUGGUUGCAUCUAUUGUUCUUAUUCUGUCAAUAUAUCUCUUCUCCAUCAUA